UUUAUCAGUACUUUAUUAUAUCUAACCGUAACUCUGAAGAUGGGAUCCACAAAUCAAUGGCUGCCGAAUUCUCAGCCGCAUCGGUGCGAACUUUCUCGACCAUGGCCGCCGACCAGAUAUUCUCAGCUGCACCGCCACAGACUCGGUUGCGCCAUCCCCGCAGCACCACCGCCCACAUCCGACGCCGGCUGCACCUUCCAGCUGGAGAAAUACAUGCGCGUUGAUCAGUAGAGGCAAUCGGAUUUUCUUAGAUCUCUGUUUCUCUAGUAACUUCUUUCUUUAUGCUCCGAUCCCUCACUCUAUGUUAUUUCUGCUGGUGAUUUGUUUUGUUUAAUUAAUGUUUUCUGAUUCUGAUAUAAUUUUAAAUUUUCUUAGAUGAUCUUAUUUAUUUAUUUUUACUCUGUGUAACUUGAAUGUGAUGUAAGUUUGCUGCAUUGAAAAGUCUGGUUGUGUUGUAUACUCACAGUUUUUAUGUUUAUACUUUCUUUGCAGAAGAUUGGAUUUAUAUAUCAACGAUCAAGAGCAUUUUCGUUUAGUUUAGUGGUCUGGAAUUGUGAUUUUUGUUGUUAUAAUGUCCCCUUAGUUGGAUAAAAUAAGCAGCUAUUUGAUCAAAUGGAAGCCAGAAAUUGUUAUAAGAUGUGUUUGCUGUUUCUAUUACUUGAUAAAUUUCAACAUGCUUGUGCACUAUGCAUCCGAUCGACUUUUCGUUAUAUAUUGGAUGUAUGCUUCCUUAUAUAUGUAGGGUUGCAAGAAGUUAUCUGUUUCCCAAUUCUUUCAAUGACUAUAAAGAGUAAAGUUUGUUAGUAACUCAUCACCAUUGGAUAGUCAAAUGAAAUGCAAGAAACAUAUAAAUAAGAGAUUGCAGGGAAUGGUGGUUAGAUUAUAUAAAACUAUAAUAUUACCUUAUUCACUUUCAAGAAACUAAACAUGAUCGAUCAUAAUCAUUUCCCCAAGCUAUUAUUACUCGACUUCUACCAGAAAUAGCGGUGAAGUUUUUUAUAUAUCAUAUGUGAAUAUGCUCACAUGUGUGCACAGACUAUAGAUAACAUCUACUCCAAAACGGAUUACAUGAGAAAAUGGUCGCAUUGCACCUAACAUUGAAUGCUCCUAUUUCUCUCUUCAUCUCCAGAUUCUCUUUACUAGUACUAAUAAUACAGAUGAAUGAAUGUUAGAUUUAGCAUAUGACUACCGAGCAUGAGGGUAUUGGGAUUGGGACCUGAGUUUGCAUGAUACCAAUCAAUUAUUCAAUCUCAACCAGGGGCUGAUUGAUGACUUGGAAUGGUAUGAGACAACAAUAGAAAAUGAAUGAAUCAAUGGUUUGUUGGAGCAAUUCUUCUCAGAAUAGAGACUCAAAUUAUUGACAAUUGUUGAAAGCUCAAUCCGUUUUGUUAUACCUGCCAAGUAUACAUCCAACUAUCUUAAUCUCUUAAUAAAAGUGGCACGUCCAAAGGCCUCCUUGGAGUAUCUUUUCCUUGCAUGUUAUUCUUUGGGAGUUUGCGUAUGUCUAUCACUUUGAUCCUUCUUUGUUUCUUAGCUAUUAAUGCAAUGCAAGUAAGUCUAGUUCAAUCCACAAACAUACAGAAUAUUUACCAUAUUUAUUCAAUGAUGUUUGUUAUAUUGUUUUCAUCUUCUUGAUGAGUCUCUCGAAGUUUUCUCUUUGUAGUCUCAAGUUUCAUCUCAAUGUCCCAUUAGAGAUUAUAUGGAAUAGAAUAGAAAAUUAGUAGUGUAUUGUAAAUAUCUAUAACUAGGUGAGAAUGUCAGAGUUAUUUCAACAUAUGUAACUAUGCAAUUCUUACAUCAUGAUGAAAAGAUUUUGAUAUUUUUUUUAUGUUGCGAUUCUCCAAUAUAUGGGGACAAGAAAACUUUGAAAUCUUUUUGAUGGUGCAAUUAUAUGAAUUUUGAGGUUUUGUUCUCUGACAAUUCUCUUAGAGAAAACCUAAAAAAUCAGAAAAUUGCACCAUUCAAAAGAUAUCAAAGCCUAUUCGUCUCCAAAUAUUGGAGAAUUGUAAUAUUGAAUAAAUAUCAAAACAAUUUCAUCCGGAAAUAAGAUGAAAAUGAGACAUGAGAUGAAAUUUGAGAAUUCAAAGAGAAAAUUUCGGGGGAAUUAUCAAGAAAAUGAGUGGAAUUAACAACCAUCAUUGAAUAAAUAUACUCAAUAUUGCAGAUGUUUAUGGAUUGAAUUAGACUUGUAUUGCAUGUACAACUAAAAAACAAAGAAAGAUUAAAAUCAUUGACCUACGUGAUCUCCCAAAUAAUAGCAUCCCACAAAUAUAUACUUCAAGGAGGUAUGCUUGGAUCCAUAAAGUUAAUUGUUAAUAUUUACAUUGAUGAAGCUUCAUGAACCUUUUCAUUGCACCUACUUCUUAUGACACUAGAUUGCGAGGGAUUAAAAAUCCCUCACAACUUCUUAUGGAUUUUACGAUGAAACAGGAGAUGAGCCAUUGUUUUGGAAAUUUGCAAGGGAUUUAAAUCCCUCGAAAAAUUGUUCAUUUUGCUAGGAAUAACACAAAGGGUAAUCUAUAUAUGUAAGCAUGCAAUUCUUACAUCGGGAUUAAAAGAUUUUGAUAUUUUUUCUAUGUUGCAAUUCUCUAAUAUUUGAAGAGAAAACUUUGAUAUUUUUUUUAUGGUGCAAUUAUUUGAUAUUUUGAGGUUUCGUUCUCGAAAAUUCUUUUAGAAAAAAUCGUGGAAUUGCACCAUCUAAAAGAUAUCAAAGUCUCCUCAUUCCCAAAUAUUGAAGAACUACAAUAUUCUAUAAAUAUCAAAACAUUUUCAUCCUGACAUAAGAAUUGCAUACUUACAUAUGGAUUGGAAUAACUUAUAAUGCUCACUUUGUUAUAGAUAUUUACCGGUAUGUUAGUAAUCGUUCAUAUUCCAUUCGAUCAUAUAUCUUAAUGGGACAUUAGAUGAAAUUUGAGAGUUCAAAGAGAAUUAUGAAGAAAAUGAGAAUGGUAUAACACAAUGGGUAAUAUAUCCCUUGUGAAUAUAAUGACGGAUUGUGCGAGGGAUUGUGAAUCCAUUGCCAACUUUACAUGCGGGAAUAUUAUAUGGUUCAUCUGCUUGUUUGUUUUGUGCAAUUUAAGAUAAAAAUUAUAUUUAGUUUUGUAUGCAUUAAUACAUUUUACUAUUAUAUAAUUGCAUAUCUUCCUUGAAUUUGUUGUAACCAAAUGAUAUGUUAAUU
Andrographis paniculata is the source of this 3178-nucleotide long non-coding RNA. RefSeq lists it as uncharacterized. The record is from RefSeq and is a predicted model, not a curated record. NCBI's taxonomy places the organism in Eukaryota, Viridiplantae, Streptophyta, Magnoliopsida, Lamiales, Acanthaceae. The transcript is spliced from 4 exons.